CCCUUAGAUGUUCUGGGCUGCACGCGCGCUACACUGAUGCAUUCAACGAGUUGAUUUCCACCUGAACCGAGAGGCUUGGGUAAUCUUUUCAAAUUGCAUCGUGACGGGGAUAGACUCUUGCAAUUUUUAGUCUUCAACGAGGAAUUCCUAGUAAACGCAAGUCAUCAGCUUGCAUUGAUUACGUCCCUGCCCUUUGUACACACCGCCCGUCGCUCCUACCGAUUGAAUGUCAAGGUGAAAUCCUCGGAGCUAGACGUUGUUGGCGUAUGCCUCGCGUCCGGCAAAGUUGCUUAAACCUUAUCAUUUAGAGGAAGGAGAAGUCGUAACA
RNAcentral lists this ribosomal RNA (328 nucleotides) under uncultured eukaryote. RNAcentral describes it as "partial 18S ribosomal RNA". It matches the Rfam family "Eukaryotic small subunit ribosomal RNA", at positions 1470 to 1796 of the family's 1831-position model. The record is from RNAcentral.